CAUGGAGGGUGAGAAUCCCGUUCGGUUAACCAAAGCGCUUUACGAUACGCUUUCAAAGAGUCAAGUUGUUUGGGAUUGCAGCUUAAAAUGGGAGGUAAAUUUCUCCUAAGGCUAAAUAUUGGCGAGAGACCGAUAGCGAACAAGUACCGUGAGGGAAAGAUGAAAAGAACUUUGAAAAGAGAGUUAAACAGUACGUGAAAUUGUUGAAAGGGAAACGAUUAAAGUCAGUCGUACCUACGAGUAAUCAACCUACUCGAGUGCGAUUUUGUGGGUAUGUUAGAGCUUAAAAACCUUCAUGCUUACAAAUUGGUGCUCUUUGGGCGUACUUUCUCGUAUGGUAGGUUAACAUCAAUUUCGAUCGUUAUAAAAUGACUGGAGGAAUGUAGCUUCGACCUCGGUUGAAGUGUUAUAGCCUUUGGUAGAUGUAAUGAUUGGGAUUGAGGAUUGCAACGGAUACCCUCUGGGCUAUUCGUCUGAUCUCUGGAAGUUACCUUGGUGUCGAAAGCGUGCUUACGAUAUUAAGGUUGACGGCCAAUAGGUUAGAACGUGAUUAAAUUCGUUAAGGAUGUUGACGUAAUGG
This 580-nucleotide ribosomal RNA is filed under the name uncultured Glomeromycotina. Its description in RNAcentral is "LSU rRNA". It matches the Rfam family "Eukaryotic large subunit ribosomal RNA", at positions 204 to 637 of the family's 3401-position model. Lineage: Eukaryota; Fungi; Glomeromycota. The record is from RNAcentral.